RNAcentral lists this ribosomal RNA (220 nucleotides) under uncultured bacterium. RNAcentral describes it as "partial 16S ribosomal RNA". It matches the Rfam family "Bacterial small subunit ribosomal RNA", at positions 57 to 305 of the family's 1533-position model. The record is from RNAcentral.
GCAAGUCGAGCGCGCCCUUCGGGUGGAGCGGCGGACGGGUUAGUAACGCGUGGGAACAUACCCUUUUCUGCGGAAUAGCCUUUGGAAACGAAGAGUAAUACCGCAUACGCCCUUUUGGGGAAAGAUUUAUUGGUGAAGGAUUGGCCCGCGUAAGAUUAGAUAGUUGGUGGGGUAAUGGCCUACCAAGUCUACGAUCUUUAGCUGGUUUUAGAGGAUGAUU